RNAcentral lists this unclassified non-coding RNA (550 nucleotides) under Hevea brasiliensis (rubber tree). The record is from RNAcentral. Lineage: Eukaryota; Viridiplantae; Streptophyta; Magnoliopsida; Malpighiales; Euphorbiaceae.
AUUGCUAAUUACUAUCGACACCUGAAGAAUGAAGAUACAGGACCUUAUAUGGAAAGGGGCAGACCUAAGCGGUAUAAAUGUACCCAAAGAUGGCGAGAGCAUGCUGAGAGAAUGUCAAAUGAAUCCUUGGAAUCAUGUUUUUGGGCUGAGGCAGAGGAGCUCUGCAAUAAAUCUGGAAACCCAAGCAUCAGAGACAGAGUUUUGCAGCUGAAGAGAAGAGUUGAAGAAUGGAUUCGAAAUGGGGUUCUAGAUGAAGAUGUGUUCUUGAAUGGUUCCACCUUUGAAAAAUUGUUGACAGAGCACUCUUUAAAAAACUCAGAUCAGAAUGUUGUAUUUCAAGGAUCAUGGAGUUGAUCAUCAAGGAGACUUUGCAUGUGUAAUAAAAAAUAUUGUUAUCAUGUGCAAGCCUUGUGAUGGGUGUUCAAAUUGCCCAAUGUUGCUCCGUAACACAACUAAUAGCUUACAAUUUUGUUCAUAUCUUGUUACACUUCAGUACAAUUUUAAUACUGCGGUUCUAAAAAGCACAAGCCCUUGUUCUAGCAAUCAUUAC